This 1433-nucleotide long non-coding RNA is filed under the name Toxoplasma gondii VEG. Lineage: Eukaryota; Apicomplexa; Conoidasida; Eucoccidiorida; Sarcocystidae. The record is from RNAcentral.
GCUGUGGAGAAGAGCCACGGCGAGAAAACGGAGACAGCGAACCGGGCGAGAAAAAAUGGAAAGAUCCGGAGUCCGUUUGCCUCUUUUGCGCUCAAGAGUUCGUUAGUCUUCUUCGCGAGUGUCUUCAAAAGGUUCUUUGAAACUUGUGAAACUUUUGAAAUUUUUCUUUGGACGCAAAAGAAAUAAAAUCGCCAAGGUAUUUCUCUAAAAGUGUGCCUGAGGAGAAACUGGUGAAGUCCCUCCAGGACGAGCGGAUCUUAGGGUAACAGGUUCUUCUCUUUCAAUUCUGCUGCAGUCCUUCCGCUGAGUCCAGCAGAACGGAAAAGUUUCCAGUCUCGACUGCUGAAGAGAAACCAGGCAGAGGGGAUCGAACUGCGCGCGCGAGGCCUCGCGGUGUCGACCCUUCUGGUCAUAAAACGUCGUGUAUUUUUGGACGUUGCGUCCAUGCCGUAGAAAGGACUAUUUAUGGGGAGUGUCUGCUGUGUGUGAGUUUAAAACAGAGAUGAAGUUUUGUGUGAGUCGACGAGGCCGUUGCUCGCGUCUAACAGGAGUAAGUGAAAGUCAAGUCCGAAGCACGCAGGUAGACACACUCCUUGCACGGUCUGUUCCUCCUGAACUUGGCAGUUUCAGCAGAAGGGAUGUUCACCGGGAGCAAGUCUGCUAAACUUCUUCAGCGAGUCUUGCUCCACAGCAGGGAUCGCACGACACCCCGAAGAACAAAGCGCACUCGAGGCUCGCAUGGCUGGGACUUCGCUCUUGCUGUUUACGAAAACCUUUUGGUCGCCAAACUCGCAGACAGUGCUCAGAGUCAGUCGUUUGUGGCGGACGUUUGAACUCACAAAAUUCUGUCGUCUUCGUGCCUCCUGGAACUCGAGAAGGCGUUCCAUCUGAGACCUCUCACGUCCCAAAGUGCGGUUGUUCGCGGCGUUAACAUCAAUGCCAUCGAGACCGAUGGGGCGUUCCUAUUGAUGUCUGCAACAAGGGAAUGAAAUACAACGGCUUUUAAACUCACUGGUGUGUCUGACUGGAGACGCCUUUGAAAAACUCGAUGUUCGUGAUGGCUCUAGACGGGCACAAGUUCCUGAAGGGUAGAAAGGGGAGUUCGAGCGACAACGCCGUUUCCGCGUAAACGACGAGCUCGGGCGGUGGGCAUGUGGAGAAAAAGACAAAAAAACGAAAUGGAGGAAGAGCGUCGGUCGAAAACUGUCGGGACGAGAGAUCGGGAGAGAGGGGAGCGAAGGUCGUAGAAAGAAGUGAAAGACUCUCUGACCAGUGUGUUUCAGAGCGACAGACUGUGGAAAAACCGGUUCUGAUGCCGCUAUGAAAAUCACAUCCCUGUUUCUUAGUGAAUCUCAUAAUUUGCGUUCAAGCGGCUGCCUCUCAAUCAAUCCCCUCUCCCGAUACAACCUGGGUGCCAGUCGCGAGCUGCGCAU